This 963-nucleotide ribosomal RNA is filed under the name uncultured bacterium. RNAcentral describes it as "bacterial SSU rRNA". It matches the Rfam family "Bacterial small subunit ribosomal RNA", at positions 521 to 1482 of the family's 1533-position model. The record is from RNAcentral.
UAAGACGUAGGGGGCCAGCGUUGCUCGGAAUUACUGGGUGUAAAGGGUUCGUAGGCGGUGUGGCAAGUCGGGAGUGAAAUCUCUGAGCUUAACUCAGGGGCUGCUUCCGAAACUGCUGUGCUAGAGUGUGGGAGAGGCGCGUGGAAUUGCAGGUGUAGCGGUGAAAUGCGUAGAUAUCUGCAGGAACACCCGUGGCGAAAGCGGCGCGCUGGACCACUACUGACGCUGAGGAACGAAAGCUAGGGGAGCAAACAGGAUUAGAUACCCUGGUAGUCCAUGCCUUAAACGAUGAUCACUUGGUGUUGGAGGUAUUGACCCCUUCAGUGCCGAAGCUAACGCGUUAAGUGAUCCGCCUGGGGAGUACGGCCGCAAGGUUAAAACUCAAAGAAAUUGACGGGGGCCCGCACAAGCGGUGGAGCAUGUGGUUUAAUUCGAUGCAACGCGAAGAACCUUACCUGGGUUUGACAUGGUUUGGAAGGGUGGCAGAGAUGUCCCCGCCCGCAAGGGCUGAAUCACAGGUGCUGCAUGGCUGUCGUCAGCUCGUGUCGUGAGAUGUUGGGUUAAGUCCCGCAACGAGCGCAACCCCUAUGUUUAGUUGCCAGCAUUCAGUUGGGCACUCUAGACAGACUGCCGACGUUAAGUCGGAGGAAGGUGGGGAUGACGUCAAGUCCUCAUGGCCUUUAUAUCCAGGGCCACACACGUGCUACAAUGGUAGGUACAAAGGGAAGCAAGAGCGCGAGCUGGAGCAAAUCCCAUAAAACCUAUCUAAGUUCGGAUUGAAGUCUGCAACUCGACUUCAUGAAGCUGGAAUCGCUAGUAAUCGCGGAUCAGCACGCCGCGGUGAAUACGUUCCCGGGCCUUGUACACACCGCCCGUCACAUCACGAAAGCCGGUUGUACUAGAAGUCGCUACAUCAACCCGCAAGGGGGAGAGGCGCCUAAGGUAUGGUCGGUGAUUGGGGUG